GUGGCCAUAGUGUAGCUCGGUUAGCAUUAGGGACUGUGGAUCCCUCGGGGCGGGUUCAAAUCCCGCUGGCCACC
This 74-nucleotide transfer RNA is filed under the name Nanobdellati archaeon. RNAcentral describes it as "DPANN group archaeon (hydrothermal vent metagenome) tRNA-His". It matches the Rfam family "tRNA". Rfam says of the family: Transfer RNA (tRNA) molecules are approximately 80 nucleotides in length. Their secondary structure includes four short double-helical elements and three loops (D, anti-codon, and T loops). Further hydrogen bonds mediate the characteristic L-shaped molecular structure. tRNAs have two regions of fundamental functional importance: the anti-codon, which is responsible for specific mRNA codon recognition, and the 3' end, to which the tRNAs corresponding amino acid is attached (by aminoacyl-tRNA synthetases). tRNAs cope with the degeneracy of the genetic code in two manners: having more than one tRNA (with a specific anti-codon) for a particular amino acid; and 'wobble' base-pairing, i.e. permitting non-standard base-pairing at the 3rd anti-codon position. The record is from RNAcentral. Lineage: Archaea; Nanobdellati.